Molecule: ribosomal RNA, 740 nt
Filed under: uncultured Methanoculleus sp.
Lineage: Archaea; Methanobacteriati; Methanobacteriota; Methanomicrobia; Methanomicrobiales; Methanomicrobiaceae
Description: bacterial SSU rRNA
Rfam family: Archaeal small subunit ribosomal RNA
Source: RNAcentral
UACGGCUCAGUAACACGUGGAUAACUGCCCUAAGGAAGGGGAUACCCUCGGGAAACUGAGGAUAAUACCCUAUAGGUUACCGAUGCUGGAAUGCUCGGUAACUCAAAGUUCCGGCGCCUUAGGAUGGAUCUGCGGCCGAUUAGGUAGUUGUUGGGGUAACGGCCCAACAAGCCCGUAAUCGGUACGGGUUGUGGGAGCAAGAGCCCGGAGUUGGAUUCUGAGACACGAAUCCAGGCCCUACGGGGCGCAGCAGGCGCGAAAACUUUACAAUGCGGGCAACCGUGAUAAGGGAACCUCGAGUGCCUGUACAUGCAGAAAAAAMWGGGUGUCUAAAACACACCCAAAGAAAGGGCCGGGCAAGACCGGUGCCAGCCGCCGCGGUAAUACCGGCGGCUCGAGUGGUGGCCACUUUUAUUGGGCUUAAAGCGUUCGUAGCUGGGUUGUUAAGUCUCUUGGGAAAUCCGGCGGCUUAACCGUCGGGCGUCUAAGAGAUACUGGCAAUCUUGGAACCGGGAGAGGUGAGGGGUACUUCGGGGGUAGGAGUGAAAUCCUGUAAUCCUCGAGGGACCACCUGUGGCGAAGGCGCCUCACCAGAACGGCUUGGACAGUGAGGGACGAAAGCUGGGGGAGCAAACCGGUUUAGAUACCCGGGUAGUCCCAGCCGUAAACGAUGUGCGCGCUCUAUCGACGACCACGAGUCGUCGAGGUGCCGAAGGGAAACCGUGAAACGUACCGCCKGG